AGAUGAACCGCUGACAUUAAUGCUUAACACAUGCAAGUCUACUUGAUCCUUCGGGUGAAGGUGGCGGACGGGUGAGUAACGCGUAGGGAGCUUGCCUUACAGACUGGGACAACAUUUGGAAACGAAUGCUAAUACCGGAUAUUAUGACUGAGUCGCAUGAUUUGGUUAUGAAAGCUAUAUGCGCUGUGAGAGAGCUUUGCGUCCCAUUAGUUAGUUGGUGAGGUAACGGCUCACCAAGACGAUGAUGGGUAGCCGGCCUGAGAGGGUGAACGGCACAAGGGGACUGAGACACGGCCCUUACUCCUACGGGAGGCAGCAGUGGGGAAUAUUGGACAAUGGACCAAAAGUCUGAUCCAGCAAUUCUGUGUGCACGAUGAAGUUUUCGGGAAUGUCACAGUGCUUUCAGUUGGGAAGAACAGUCAGGUGACGGUACCAAACAGAAGAAAGCGACGGUAAAAUUACGGUGCCAAGCAAGGCCGCGGGUAAUAACUUAUGUCCGCAAGGCGUUUAUCCCGGGAUNUAUCGGGGGCGUAAAAGCGCGGUCUAGGGCGGGUUCAGUAAAGUUCUGAUUGUUGAAAAUGGCGGGGGCUCAAACCCCAAUAUUGCGGUUGGAAAAACUUGCUUAAAAUUAAGAAGUUACUGGGAGAAGGGUAAGGGCGGGAACUUACAAGGUUGUAAACAGGGUUGAAACUUCCGAAGAAUUACUUUGGUAGGAAUUGCCGAUGGGGGGAAAGCCAAGCCUUAACUUGGGAACCCAGCAUCACUUGG
RNAcentral lists this ribosomal RNA (768 nucleotides) under uncultured Fusobacteriota bacterium. RNAcentral's name for it is "bacterial SSU rRNA". The stretch from base 1 to 512 matches the Rfam family "Bacterial small subunit ribosomal RNA", at positions 26 to 546 of the family's 1533-position model. The record is from RNAcentral. Lineage: Bacteria; Fusobacteriati; Fusobacteriota.